UCUACGGGUGGCAGCAGUGAGGAAUAUUGGUCAAUGGGCGUAAGCCUGAACCAGCCAAGUCGCGUGAGGGAUGAAGGUUCUAUGGAUCGUAAACCUCUUUUAUAAGGGAAUAAAGUGCGGGACGUGUCCCGUUUUGUAUGUACCUUAUGAAUAAGGAUCGGCUAACUCCGUGCCAGCAGCCGCGGUAAUACGGGGGAUCCGAGCGUUAUCCGGAUUUAUUGGGUUUAAAGGGUUCGUAGGCGGGCUGUUAAGUCAGCGGUGAAAGUUUGGGGAUCAACCAUAGAAUUGCGGUUGAUACUGGGAGUCUUGAGUAUGUUUGAGGCAGGCGGAAUGCGUGGUGUAGCGGUGAAAUGCUGAGAUAUCACGCAGAACCCCGAUUGCGAAGGCAGCCUGCCAAGCCAUGACUGACACUGAUGCACGAAAGCGUGGGGAUCAAACAGGAUUAGAUACCCUUGUAGUC
Molecule: ribosomal RNA, 460 nt
Filed under: uncultured bacterium
Lineage: Bacteria
Description: partial 16S ribosomal RNA
Rfam family: Bacterial small subunit ribosomal RNA
Source: RNAcentral